CCUACGGGUGGCAGCAGUGAGGAAUAUUGGUCAAUGGGCGGAAGCCUGAACCAGCCAAGUAGCGUGAAGGAUGACUGCCCUAUGGGUUGUAAACUUCUUUUAUAUGGGAAUAAAACAGGGUAUGCAUACCCUCUUGUAUGUACCAUAUGAAUAAGGAUCGGCUAACUCCGUGCCAGCAGCCGCGGUAAUACGGAGGAUCCGAGCGUUAUCCGGAUUUAUUGGGUUUAAAGGGAGCGUAGGUGGAUUGUUAAGUCAGUUGUGAAAGUUUGCGGCUCAACCGUAAAAUUGCAGUUGAAACUGGCAGUCGUGAGUACAGUAGAGGUGGGCGGAAUUCGUGGUGUAGCGGUGAAAUGCUUAGAUAUCACGAAGAACUCCGAUUGCGAAGGCAGCUCACUGGACUGCAACUGACACUGAUGCUCGAAAGUGUGGGUAUCAAACAGGAUUAGAUACCCGAGUAGUC
This 460-nucleotide ribosomal RNA is filed under the name uncultured bacterium. Its description in RNAcentral is "partial 16S ribosomal RNA". It matches the Rfam family "Bacterial small subunit ribosomal RNA", at positions 338 to 795 of the family's 1533-position model. The record is from RNAcentral.